This 248-nucleotide unclassified non-coding RNA is filed under the name uncultured fungus. RNAcentral's name for it is "partial contains 5.8S rRNA and ITS2". The record is from RNAcentral. Lineage: Eukaryota; Fungi.
AACGCACAUUGCGCCCUUUGGUAUUCCUUAGGGCAUGCCUGUUCGAGCGUCAUUUACAAAUUCAAGCUCCGCUUGGUGAUGGGUGUCUGUCCCGCCUUUGCGCGUGGACUCGCCUCAAAUGCAGUUGGCAGCUUGUUCCUCGGCUCUAAACGCAGCAGAAUGUGUCGAGCGUCGAGCGGAUGGGCUCUCCAGUAAGCAAACCCCCACAAAUUGACCUCGGAUCAGGUAGGGAUACCCGCUGAACUUAA